RNAcentral lists this ribosomal RNA (404 nucleotides) under uncultured bacterium. RNAcentral's name for it is "bacterial SSU rRNA". It matches the Rfam family "Bacterial small subunit ribosomal RNA", at positions 360 to 773 of the family's 1533-position model. The record is from RNAcentral.
AAUAUUGGACAAUGGGCGCAAGCCUGAUCCAGCAAUGCCGCGUGAGUGAAGAAGGCCUUAGGGUUGUAAAGCUCUUUCGGCGGGGAAUACUCGCCCGCAGUGACGGUACCCCUAGAGGAAGCACCGGCUAACUCUGUGCCAGCAGCCGCGGUAAUACAGAGGGUGCAAGCGUUGUUCGGAAUUACUGGGCGUAAAGCGCGCGCAGGCGGGCGUGCAAGUCGGAAGUGAAAUUCCGGGGCUCAACCCCGGAGCUGCUCCCGAAACUGCACGUCUGGAGACCGGUAGAGGCUGGUGGAAUUCCCGGUGUAGCGGUGGAAUGCGUAGAGAUCGGGAAGAACACCCGUGGCGAAGGCGGCCAGCUGGGCCGGUUCUGACGCUGAGGCGCGAAAGCGUGGGGAGCAAAC